AAUCCAUGGUGAGGGCACUUUUGUAGCACUGAUCUGAAACACUCUCAUGCAUUGUAUAGUGUUUCACCUUCAAAUUGCUUGAAGUUGGCAAUAUCACGUCUAAGCU
This 106-nucleotide small nucleolar RNA is filed under the name Gossypium hirsutum (cotton). RNAcentral describes it as "Plant small nucleolar RNA R71". It matches the Rfam family "Plant small nucleolar RNA R71". Rfam says of the family: R71 is a member of the C/D box family of snoRNAs containing the C (UGAUGA) and D (CUGA) box motifs. Lineage: Eukaryota; Viridiplantae; Streptophyta; Magnoliopsida; Malvales; Malvaceae. The record is from Rfam by way of RNAcentral. RNAcentral also lists the same sequence under 1 other name.